UACGUAGGGUGCAAGCGUUGUCCGGAAUUAUUGGGCGUAAAGAGCUCGUAGGCGGUCUGUCGCGUCGGAUGUGAAAACCCGGGGCUUAACCCCGGGCCUGCAUUCGAUACGGGCAGACUCGAGUGUGGUAGGGGAGACUGGAACUCCUGGUGUAGCGGUGAAAUGCGCAGAUAUCAGGAAGAACACCGGUGGCGAAGGCGGGUCUCUGGGCCGCUACUGACGCUGAGGAGCGAAAGCGUGGGGAGCGAACAGG
RNAcentral lists this ribosomal RNA (253 nucleotides) under uncultured bacterium. RNAcentral describes it as "partial 16S ribosomal RNA". It matches the Rfam family "Bacterial small subunit ribosomal RNA", at positions 524 to 776 of the family's 1533-position model. The record is from RNAcentral.